UACGUAGGGGGCAAGCGUUGUCCGGAUUUAUUGGGCGUAAAGAGCGUGAAGGCGGCCAGACAGGUCCGUUGUGAAAACUCGAGGCUCAACCUCGAGAUGUCGAUGGAAACCGUCUGGCUAGAGUCCGGAAGAGGAGUGUGGAAUUCCUGGUGUAGCGGUGAAAUGCGUAGAUAUCUGGAGGAACACCGGUGGCGAAGGCGGCAUCCUGGACCGGCAUUGACGCUGAGGCACGAAGGUCAGGGGAGCAAACGGG
Molecule: ribosomal RNA, 253 nt
Filed under: uncultured bacterium
Lineage: Bacteria
Description: partial 16S ribosomal RNA
Rfam family: Bacterial small subunit ribosomal RNA
Source: RNAcentral